UUAGUGGAAGCGUCUGGAAAGGCGCGUGAUACAGGGUGACAGCCCCGUACACAAAAAUGCACAUGCUGUGAGCUCGAUGAGUAGGGCGGGACACGUGGUAUCCUGUCUGAAUAUGGGGGGACCAUCCUCCAAGGCUAAAUACUCCUGACUGACCGAUAGUGAACCAGUACCGUGAGGGAAAGGCGAAAAGAACCCCGGCGAGGGGAGUGAAAAAGAACCUGAAACCGUGUACGUACAAGCAGUGGGAGCACGCUUAGGCGUGUGACUGCGUACCUUUUGUAUAAUGGGUCAGCGACUUAUAUUCUGUAGCAAGGUUAACCGAAUAGGGGAGCCGAAGGGAAACCGAGUCUUAACUGGGCGUUAAGUUGCAGGGUAUAGACCCGAAACCCGGUGAUCUAGCCAUGGGCAGGUUGAAGGUUGGGUAACACUAACUGGAGGACCGAACCGACUAAUGUUGAAAAAUUAGCGGAUGACUUGUGGCUGGGGGUGAAAGGCCAAUCAAACCGGGAGAUAGCUGGUUCUCCCCGAAAGCUAUUUAGGUAGCGCCUCGUGAAUUCAUCUCCGGGGGUAGAGCACUGUUUCGGCAAGGGGGUCAUCCCGACUUACCAACCCGAUGCAAACUGCGAAUACCGGAGAAUGUUAUCACGGGAGACACACGGCGGGUGCUAACGUCCGUCGUGAAGAGGGAAACAACCCAGACCGCCAGCUAAGGUCCCAAAGUCAUGGUUAAGUGGGAAACGAUGUGGGAAGGCCCAGACAGCCAGGAUGUUGGCUUAGAAGCAGCCAUCAUUUAAAGAAAGCGUAAUAGCUCACUGGUCGAGUCGGCCUGCGCGGAAGAUGUAACGGGGCUAAACCAUGCACCGAAGCUGCGGCAGCGACGCUUAUGCGUUGUUGGGUAGGGGAGCGUUCUGUAAGCCUGUGAAGGUGUACUGUGAGGUAUGCUGGAGGUAUCAGAAGUGCGAAUGCUGACAUAAGUAACGAUAAAGCGGGUGAAAAGCCCGCUCGCCGGAAGACCAAGGGUUCCUGUCCAACGUUAAUCGGGGCAGGGUGAGUCGACCCCUAAGGCGAGGCCGAAAGGCGUAGUCGAUGGGAAACAGGUUAAUAUUCCUGUACUUGGUGUUACUGCGAAGGGGGGACGGAGAAGGCUAUGUUGGCCGGGCGACGGUUGUCCCGGUUUAAGCGUGUAGGCUGGUUUUCCAGGCAAAUCCGGAAAAUCAAGGCUGAGGCGUGAUGACGAGGCACUACGGUGCUGAAGCAACAAAUGCCCUGCUUCCAGGAAAAGCCUCUAAGCAUCAGGUAACAUCAAAUCGUACCCCAAACCGACACAGGUGGUCAGGUAGAGAAUACCAAGGCGCUUGAGAGAACUCGGGUGAAGGAACUAGGCAAAAUGGUGCCGUAACUUCGGGAGAAGGCACGCUGAUAUGUAGGUGAAGUCCCUCGCGGAUGGAGCUGAAAUCAGUCGAAGAUACCAGCUGGCUGCAACUGUUUAUUAAAAACACAGCACUGUGCAAACACGAAAGUGGACGUAUACGGUGUGACGCCUGCCCGGUGC
RNAcentral lists this ribosomal RNA (1552 nucleotides) under Escherichia coli. Its description in RNAcentral is "partial 23S ribosomal RNA". It matches the Rfam family "Bacterial large subunit ribosomal RNA", at positions 329 to 1869 of the family's 2925-position model. The record is from RNAcentral. Lineage: Bacteria; Pseudomonadati; Pseudomonadota; Gammaproteobacteria; Enterobacterales; Enterobacteriaceae.